This 460-nucleotide ribosomal RNA is filed under the name uncultured bacterium. RNAcentral describes it as "partial 16S ribosomal RNA". It matches the Rfam family "Bacterial small subunit ribosomal RNA", at positions 338 to 795 of the family's 1533-position model. The record is from RNAcentral.
CCUACGGGAGGCUGCAGUGAGGAAUAUUGGUCAAUGGACGAGAGUCUGAACCAGCCAAGUAGCGUGAAGGAUGACUGCCCUAUGGGUUGUAAACUUCUUUUAUAUGGGAAUAAAACAGGGUACGCAUACCCUCUUGUAUGUACCAUAUGAAUAAGGAUCGGCUAACUCCGUGCCAGCAGCCGCGGUAAUACGGAGGAUCCGAGCGUUAGCCGGAUUUAUUGGGUUUAAAGGGAGCGUAGGUGGUUUGUUAAGUCAGUUUUGAAAGUUUGCGGCUCAACCGUAAAAUUGCAGUUGAUACUGGCAGUCGUGAGUACAGUAGAGGUAGGCGGAAUUCGUGGUGUAGCGGUGAAAUGCUUAGAUAUCACGAAGAACUCCGAUUGCGAAGGCAGCUCACUAAACUGCAACUGACACUGAUGCUCGAAAGUGUGGGUAUCAAACAGGAUUAGAUACCCGUGUAGUC